GACGAACGCUGGCGGCGUGCUUAACACAUGCAAGUCGAACGGUGAAGCGCCUUCCUUUUUGGUGGGUGUGGAUGAGUGGCGAACGGGUGAGUAACACGUGAGUAACCUGCCCCCUUCUUCUGGAUAACCGCAUGAAAGUGUGGCUAAUACGGGAUAUUCUGGGUCUGUCGCAUGAUGGGUCUGGGAAAGAUAUUGUUUCGGUGGGGGAUGGGCUCGCGGCCUAUCAGCUUGUUGGUGGGGUGAUGGCCUACCAAGGCGGUGACGGGUAGCCGGCCUGAGAGGGUGGACGGUCCCACUGGGACUGAGACACGGCCCAGACUCCUACGGGAGGCAGCAGUGGGGAAUAGUGCACAAUGGGCGCAAGCCUGAUGCAGCGACGCCGCGUGAGGGAUGGAGGCCUUCGGGUUGUGAACCUCUUUCGCCAGUGAAGCAGGCCUGCCUCGUUUGUGGGUGGGUUGACGGUAGCUGGAUAAGAAGCGCCGGCUAACUACGUG
Molecule: ribosomal RNA, 494 nt
Filed under: uncultured bacterium
Lineage: Bacteria
Description: partial 16S ribosomal RNA
Rfam family: Bacterial small subunit ribosomal RNA
Source: RNAcentral